Molecule: transfer RNA, 87 nt
Filed under: Bacteroidetes bacterium GWF2_41_31
Lineage: Bacteria; Pseudomonadati; Bacteroidota
Also listed under: 1 other name
Description: tRNA-Leu
Rfam family: tRNA
About the family: Transfer RNA (tRNA) molecules are approximately 80 nucleotides in length. Their secondary structure includes four short double-helical elements and three loops (D, anti-codon, and T loops).
Source: RNAcentral
GCCCAGGUGGUGAAAUUGGUAGACACGCCAGCUUGAGGGGCUGGUGAUCGCAAGGUUGUGCAAGUUCGAGUCUUGUCCUGGGCACUA